RNAcentral lists this long non-coding RNA (1297 nucleotides) under Numida meleagris (helmeted guineafowl). RNAcentral's name for it is "lncRNA (ENSNMEG00000002085.1)". Lineage: Eukaryota; Metazoa; Chordata; Aves; Galliformes; Numididae. The record is from RNAcentral.
GCCGCUGGGCGCCGGGCUCCUCCCCGCCGUGCCCGGCUCGGUGCCUUCCAACGCCGCGUCCCCGGGCCUCCAAGGUAACAACCCCCCCCCAACCCCUCCCAUCCCGCUCCGCGCCGUCCCCGCUGCCCGUUCCCGUUCCCGUGUUGCAGGGCUGGGCGCGUUCUCGUUCCUGCACGCUGGCUCCCAGCUGGGUGCCCCCGCGGUUCCUCCCCGUCCUCCCCCGGCUCCGCCGCCCCCCGGCUCCGAGGCGGGGUCUCCCCGGUCAUCGCCUCCGUGCAGGAGCGGGACGCGCUGGCCGCUUCCUCCCUCGCAUCGCGCGGCGGCAGCCGGGCACUGCGGCCCCGUGGGGAGCUCGGCCCGCGGCGUCGGCUCCGCUCUGCGGGGCGGGCUCCGUGCACCCCGGGCUCCCCCCGCUCCGACCCGAGGUCACCGCCUCGGACCGACCCCGAGGAGGCUCCUGGGCUGCGCGCCCGGGGCUCCGUGCCACGCGGCCGCGUGGGGCUGAGCCCCACAUCCCCCAGCCCCACACGCGGGGAGCGCGGCGCUGGGGGUCCCGCUGCCCUCAGCUGGGGGUCGGCGUUUCCCCGCGGCGCCGAUGGAUUUUGCAGCUCGGUUUCCCCGUGUCCCGAGAACCGGCACAGCUCCAUCUUCAGCCGCAGCUUUCGGCCGCUUCCCAUCCCGGCAGCGCGCGGUGAAGCUCGGCGCCGUCGCCCCACGGUGUGUGGGGCUGGGAGUCAGAAUGGGAUCGUGUGUGGGUCCCACUGGGGUCACCGCCUGUCCCAUAAACAGCCUUUAUUCCCAGCCCUACAGCCUGCCCUAUAGCCGCCCUAUAGCCGCCCUAUGGCUCUGCUCCGGGCGCCAGGCACCGCUGCAGCAAACUUGGGGCAGGGGAUGGGGGCCUCCUCCCCCGCAGCCCCACAACCACAAGGGUAUGGGGUCAGCCCGGCCCCACAGCGCAGGCUCUGGGUCUUCGCGGCCCCAUCGCGCUGGGGACGUUCCCCGCUCUCGGCUCCGUGCCUCGGGGUCCGCCCGGAGCCACAGCGGGGACACGGGGACGUGGGGCACCACGCGCUGCCCUGCGCAGCACGGGCCGGGGGGGGGCGGGACAUGGGUGUCAGACACAUGGACGCGUGGGGGGAACGGCGCUGAGGACGCAGCGGGGGGGGGACGCGGCAAUGGCACUGGGGACGCGGGUGUCGGGGACACGGACAGGUUGGGGGUACGGGAGCGACACGGGGGGACACGGGUGGGCGGUUUGGGGACGCACGGACACCGGGGACACACGGACACCGGGGAC